RNAcentral lists this ribosomal RNA (230 nucleotides) under uncultured microorganism. RNAcentral describes it as "partial 16S ribosomal RNA". It matches the Rfam family "Bacterial small subunit ribosomal RNA", at positions 524 to 753 of the family's 1533-position model. The record is from RNAcentral.
UACGGAGGGUGCAAGCGUUACCCGGAAUCACUGGGCGUAAAGGGCGUGUAGGCGGAACGUUAAGUCCGACUUUAAAGACCGAGGCUCAACCUCGGAAGUGGGUUGGAUACUGGCAUUCUUGACCUCUGGAGAGAGAACCGGAAUUCCUGGUGUAGCGGUGGAAUGCGUAGAUACCAGGAGGAACACCGAUGGCGAAGGCAGGUUCUUGGACAGAAGGUGACGCUGAGGCG